AUUGAACGCUGGCGGCAGGCCUAACACAUGCAAGUCGAGCGGAUGAAGGGAGCUUGCUCCUGGAUUCAGCGGCGGACGGGUGAGUAAUGCCUAGGAAUCUGCCUGGUAGUGGGGGAUAACGUCCGGAAACGGGCGCUAAUACCGCAUACGUCCUGAGGGAGAAAGUGGGGGAUCUUCGGACCUCACGCUAUCAGAUGAGCCUAGGUCGGAUUAGCUAGUUGGUGGGGUAAAGGCCUACCAAGGCGACGAUCCGUAACUGGUCUGAGAGGAUGAUCAGUCACACUGGAACUGAGACACGGUCCAGACUCCUACGGGAGGCAGCAGUGGGGAAUAUUGGACAAUGGGCGAAAGCCUGAUCCAGCCAUGCCGCGUGUGUGAAGAAGGUCUUCGGAUUGUAAAGCACUUUAAGUUGGGAAGAAGGGCAGUAAGUUAAUACCUUGCUGUUUUGACGGUACCAACAGAAUAAGCACCGGCUAACUUCGUG
This 484-nucleotide ribosomal RNA is filed under the name uncultured bacterium. RNAcentral describes it as "partial 16S ribosomal RNA". It matches the Rfam family "Bacterial small subunit ribosomal RNA", at positions 30 to 507 of the family's 1533-position model. The record is from RNAcentral.